RNAcentral lists this ribosomal RNA (405 nucleotides) under uncultured bacterium. RNAcentral describes it as "bacterial SSU rRNA". It matches the Rfam family "Bacterial small subunit ribosomal RNA", at positions 110 to 507 of the family's 1533-position model. The record is from RNAcentral.
GUAAUACAGUCGGAACGUACCCUGAAGGUGGGGAUAACGUAGCGAAAGUUACGCUAAUACCGCAUAUUCUGUGAGCAGGAAAGAGGGGAUCGCAAGACCUCUUGCUUUAGGAGCGGCCGAUGUCGGAUUAGCUAGUUGGUGAGGUAAAGGCUCACCAAGGCGACGAUCCGUAGCGGGUCUGAGAGGAUGAUCCGCCACACUGGGACUGAGACACGGCCCAGACUCCUACGGGAGGCAGCAGGUGGGGAAUUUUGGACAAUGGGCGCAAGCCUGAUCCAGCCAUGCCGCGUGAGUGAAGAAGGCCUUUCGGGUUAGUAAAGCUUCUUUCGGUGGGGAAGAAAUUGCUUCGGUUAAUACCUGGAGUAGAUGACGGUACCCGCAUAAGAAGCACCGGCUAACUACGUG